GGAUGCGAUCAUACCAGCACUAAAGCACCGGAUCCCAUCAGAACUCUGAAGUUAAGCGUGCUUGGGCGAGAGUAGUACUAGGAUGGGUCACCUCCUGGGAAGUCCUCGUGUUGCAUUCC
This 119-nucleotide ribosomal RNA is filed under the name Triticum aestivum (bread wheat). RNAcentral also lists the same sequence under 1 other name. The record is from RNAcentral. Lineage: Eukaryota; Viridiplantae; Streptophyta; Magnoliopsida; Poales; Poaceae.